AGGAGAAUGUGGAGAAAACCUCCUGUGAAUCAGAAUCGCGUACUCCCCAGAUGCCACCCAGUGCGGAGGAGAGUGAUUUAUACCACAGAGAGGUUUGGAGAGGAUGUCCCAUCCAGGAACCCUUAACAGACCCACUUCACUCUAAGUGGUUUAGCAUCAAGAGGCUCACGCUAAACAAAAAGGUGUACCCUAAGAAAGCCACCCAAAGAGCCUGCAUGAAGGGUGU
Molecule: long non-coding RNA, 226 nt
Organism: Carlito syrichta (Philippine tarsier)
Lineage: Eukaryota; Metazoa; Chordata; Mammalia; Primates; Tarsiidae
Exons: 4
Source: RefSeq, a predicted model, not a curated record